This 434-nucleotide RNase P RNA is filed under the name Limobrevibacterium gyesilva. RNAcentral describes it as "Bacterial RNase P class A". It matches the Rfam family "Bacterial RNase P class A". From Rfam's summary of the family: Ribonuclease P (RNase P) is a ubiquitous endoribonuclease, found in archaea, bacteria and eukarya as well as chloroplasts and mitochondria. Its best characterised activity is the generation of mature 5'-ends of tRNAs by cleaving the 5'-leader elements of precursor-tRNAs. Cellular RNase Ps are ribonucleoproteins. The record is from Rfam by way of RNAcentral. Lineage: Bacteria; Pseudomonadati; Pseudomonadota; Alphaproteobacteria; Acetobacterales; Acetobacteraceae.
CCAGACGGCCGGACGGCUGCUGCCGGGGGCAACCCUGGUGGAGGAAAGUCCGGGCUCCACGGGAAUACGGUGCCGGCUAACCGCCGGCGGGGGCGACCCUAGGGAAAGUGCCACAGAAAACAAACCGCCCGCACGCGGCCCGUCCUCGGACGGAUCACCUGCGGGCAAGGGUGAAACGGUGCGGCAAGAGCGCACCGCGCCCCUGGCAACAGGGGCGGCAGGGCAAACCCCACCGGGAGCAAGACCGAAUAGGGGCGGCCGGCGGGCCGGCAUUGGUCUUCGGGCCGCGCCGGUGACGCAGAGGCGUUUCCGCCUCGUCGCCCGGGUUGGUCGCGUGAGGCGCGCAGCAAUGCGCGUCCCAGAGGAAUGGCCGUCCCGCUUCCCGGAGUGACCCGGGGGGCGGACAGAACCCGGCUUACAGGCCGUCUGGCGUU